Sinocyclocheilus anshuiensis is the source of this 938-nucleotide non-coding RNA. The record is from the annotation of a RefSeq genome assembly. Lineage: Eukaryota; Metazoa; Chordata; Actinopteri; Cypriniformes; Cyprinidae.
AUGACCAACAUCAUCAUCCUCAUCUGGACACUGACUCUUGGCAUUCAAGAGAUCUGGGGACAAGUGACAGUGACUCAGAAUCCAGAAAUAAAAUCCAUCAAACAAGGAGAAACUGUUACAAUCUGCUGUAAAACCAGUCAGUUUACGUCUAACUGUAAUGACUGUGUGUCUUGGUAUAAGCAGAAAGCUGGAGAAGCUCCUAAACUCCUCAUAUAUUACAUAAACAGACUUCAGUCAGGAACUCCAUCCAGAUUCAGUGGCAGUGGAUCUAGAUAUGGAAGUGAUUUCACUCAGACCAUCAGUGGAGUCCAGACUGAAGAUACAGGAGAUUAUUACUGUCAGAGUUACCACUACAUCAACAGUAAAAGUGUGUGCACAUUCGGUGGAGGAACUAAACUGGUGGUGAAAUCUGGUCCCACAGUGAAGCCCUCAGUGUCUCUGCUGCCGCCCUCUUCUCUGCAGAUCUCUGGAGACUCAGCCGCACUGCUCUGCCUGCUCAGCUCUUACUCUCCACAGGGGGCGCUGGUGAGCUGGACACUGGACGGCUCAGAGGUCACCGAGGGGGUUGUGACCAGCGCAGAGAGCGAGCAGGACGGCCGCUACAGCCGCAGUAGCGUCCUGACCCUCAGCAAAGCACGCUGGGAAGAGGGAGAGCUGUACGUCUGCAGAGUAACACAUGAUGGAGCUCCUCAUGAGGCCUCGUUCCACAAGAGUCGCUGUUAGUCGCUCGCAGUGCUGAUGUUUCUCCAGUGAGCGCUGCUCUCUCCUGAAGAUGAGCGUAUCUGAGUGUCCUGUGUCAGGCAGGAUUCACAUGAGUCUAGUGCUGCAGCUGUAGUCAUUUACAACUCAAUACUGAAAGAGAGCUCUAGUGUCAAAGCACUGGCUGAUCUUUCAAUCUGCUGUGUUUGCUGCAACAUUCAAUAAAGCUUCUCAACAAA